RNAcentral lists this transfer RNA (85 nucleotides) under Blumeria graminis f. sp. tritici. It matches the Rfam family "tRNA". From Rfam's summary of the family: Transfer RNA (tRNA) molecules are approximately 80 nucleotides in length. Their secondary structure includes four short double-helical elements and three loops (D, anti-codon, and T loops). RNAcentral also lists the same sequence under 1 other name. Lineage: Eukaryota; Fungi; Ascomycota; Leotiomycetes; Helotiales; Erysiphaceae. The record is from Rfam by way of RNAcentral.
GCCCGGGUAGCUCAAUCGGUAGAGCGUGUGGCUCUUAAAUACCUAUGAAACCUCAAGGUCGCGGGUUCGAGCCCCGCCUCGGGCU